UAUUUGAGAUGUUCAACAUUCCACUCUUGGCACGACUGCUGAAGCUGUAGCUGCUCCGCUCUAGAUAACCAUGUGACACGAGAUUCUUCUUCAGAUUAGGGAUGUGCUUCACAUUAGUGAGCAUUUGCACCAUCCCAUCAAACAUACUCAUCUGAAUGCUUCCAAUACCAGCAACUCAACAUAGGUGAUCAUCUCCAAGUGUCAUGCUCCAUUCAUCUGUCUCGGAGUAUGUGGCGAACC
This 240-nucleotide long non-coding RNA is filed under the name Elaeis guineensis (African oil palm). Its description in RNAcentral is "long non-coding RNA (EGUI_LNC061052)". Lineage: Eukaryota; Viridiplantae; Streptophyta; Magnoliopsida; Arecales; Arecaceae. The record is from RNAcentral.